AUCUAUCCUUAUAUAAAAGAAGUUAAGAGGGGGACCAUGGUAAGCUUUUUAAGAUAUAUUGAGCUCUCAUCUUUAUGAUUUUUCUUUCAUUAUUUUUUUAACUUCGACUGACUUAAGCAUUAGAGAGUCCCCACCAGACAAAUUCUAGCAAGAGGACUCCUUUGGCAGGUUCAUCUCUUAAUUGGGAUUAAUGCACACUUAUUCAGUAUCCAUCCAGAGAUCUCAUUGGAGUUCAGUGGCAACAGAUUGGCGUGUC
This 256-nucleotide long non-coding RNA is filed under the name Elaeis guineensis (African oil palm). Its description in RNAcentral is "long non-coding RNA (EGUI_LNC077408)". The record is from RNAcentral. Lineage: Eukaryota; Viridiplantae; Streptophyta; Magnoliopsida; Arecales; Arecaceae.